AUGAUUCGUGGGACGUCCUGCCGGUGGUGGCGAGUCGAAGGCGUGCUCCCGUCGUGGUUUCCACUUCGGUUCUUGUGCGCCCGAGGCGGACCCCGAUGAAAUCCUACCGCGGUGCUCUUAACCGAGUGUCGAGGUGGGCCGGCACGUUUACUUUGAACAAAUUAGAGUGCUUAAAGCAGGCCUGUUGCGCCUGAAUACUGUGUGCAUGGAAUAAUGGAAUAGGACCUCGGUUCUAUUUUGUUGGUUUUCGGAACCCGAGGUAAUGAUUAAUAGGGACAGGCGGGGGCAUUCGUAUUGCGACGUUAGAGGUGAAAUUCUUGGAUCGUCGCAAGACGGACCGAAGCGAAAGCAUUUGCCAAGUAUGUUUUCAUUAAUCAAGAACGAAAGUUAGAGGUUCGAAGGCGAUCAGAUACCGCCCUAGUUCUAACCAUAAACGAUGCCAGCUAGCGAUCCGCCGAAGUUCCUCCGAUGACUCGGCGGGCAGCUCCCGGGAAACCAAAGCUUUUGGGUUCCGGGGGAAGUAUGGUUGCAAAGCUGAAACUUAAAGGAAUUGACGGAAGG
This 561-nucleotide ribosomal RNA is filed under the name Poecilimon thoracicus. RNAcentral's name for it is "SSU rRNA". It matches the Rfam family "Eukaryotic small subunit ribosomal RNA", at positions 720 to 1163 of the family's 1831-position model. The record is from RNAcentral. Lineage: Eukaryota; Metazoa; Arthropoda; Insecta; Orthoptera; Tettigoniidae. RNAcentral also lists the same sequence under 2 other names.